Molecule: ribosomal RNA, 269 nt
Filed under: uncultured Staphylococcus sp.
Lineage: Bacteria; Bacillati; Bacillota; Bacilli; Caryophanales; Staphylococcaceae
Description: partial 16S ribosomal RNA
Rfam family: Bacterial small subunit ribosomal RNA
Source: RNAcentral
AGCGGCGGACGGGUGGAGUAACACGUGGGUAACCUACCUAUAAGACUGGGAUAACUUCGGGAAACCGGAGCUAAUACCGGAUAAUAUUUCGAACCGCAUGGUUCGAUAGUGAAAGAUGGUUUUGCUAUCACUUAUAGAUGGACCCGCGCCGUAUUAGCUAGUUGGUAAGGUAACGGCUUACCAAGGCGACGAUACGUAGCCGACCUGAGAGGGUGAUCGGCCACACUGGAACUGAGACACGGUCCAGACUCCUACGGGAGGCAGCAGCG